Molecule: ribosomal RNA, 443 nt
Filed under: uncultured bacterium
Lineage: Bacteria
Description: partial 16S ribosomal RNA
Rfam family: Bacterial small subunit ribosomal RNA
Source: RNAcentral
CCUACGGGUGGCAGCAGUGGGGAAUAUUGGGCAAUGGGCGCAAGCCUUACCCAGCAAUACCGCGUGAGUGAAGAAGGUCUUCGGAUUGUAAAGCUCUUUGAUCAGGGACGAACAGAUGACGGUACCUGAAGAACAAGCCACUGCUCACUACGUGCCAGCAGCCGCGGUAAAACGUAGGGGGCGAGCGUUGGCCGGAAUGACUGGGCGGAAAGGGUGCGUAGGGGGCAUAAUAAGUUAGAAGUGAAAUACCCAGAGCUUAACUCGGGUUCUGCUUCUAAGACUGUUGAGCUGGAGUGCGGGAGAGGUUAAUGGAAUUGCGAGGGUAGCGGUGGAAUGCGUAGAUAUUAGGAGGAAACCAAGAGGCGAAGGCGAUUAACUGGACCGUAACUGACGCUGAGGCACGAAAGUGUGGGUAGCAAACAGGAUUAGAUACCCGAGUAGUC